This 1308-nucleotide long non-coding RNA is filed under the name Salmo salar (Atlantic salmon). RNAcentral describes it as "lncRNA (ENSSSAG00000103058.1)". The record is from RNAcentral. Lineage: Eukaryota; Metazoa; Chordata; Actinopteri; Salmoniformes; Salmonidae.
GUGUGUGUGUGUGUGUGUGUGUGUGUGUGUGUGUGUGUGUGUGUGUGUGUGUGUGUGCGUGUGUGUGUGUGUGUGUGUGUUUGUUUGUGUGUGUAUGUGUGUGUGUGCUAUAGCUAGAUUUACAAACUAUAAAUACAUGAAUGAUUACAGUAACUGUUUCUAAACUACUUAUGAACCUUUAUCCUUUAAUUGUGACGACAUGGGAUAUGGGACAUGGGACAUGGUAACAUGGGAUAUGGGACAUAAGAUAUGGGACAUGGUAACAUGGGAUAUGGGAUAUGGGACAUGGUAACAUGGGAAAUGGGACAUGUGACAUGGGACAGUGAAUAGGGGACAUGGGAUAUGGGAAAUGGGAUAUGGGACACGGGACAUGGGACAUGGGAUGUGGCAUAUGGGAUAUGGGAUAUGGGACAUGGGAUAUGGGACAAGUUAUAGGGAACAUGGGAUAUGGGAUAUGGGACAUGGUAACAUGGGAUAUGGGACAAGGUAACAUAGGAUAUGUGACAUGCGUCCUAGACUUGGAGCUCUUGUACCGCUUGCCAUGUGGUAGCAGAGAGAACAGUUUAUGACUUUGGUGACUGGAGUCUUUGACAAUUUUGGGGGCUUUUUUUGGGACAUGGGUUAUAGGAUAUGAGAGACAUCCAGUCCAAAUGAUCAUGCAAAUCAUUUAUUCCAUAUGAUUGUAUAAAUGUUAUCUCUAUAUAGAAUACUGUAUGUCUAACCAAUGAAAUAUUGCUAGUAUACAACAGCUUUAUGAUAUUGAUUUCAUAAUGAUGUCCUCCAGUCCUUUUUACUGGGAACCGUUCUCAGCAGGAUCAAUGGCUCAGGACAGGCUCCUCUUCUCUAGUUAAGCAGGUACACUCUCAUCCCUGUAAAUCCUGCUGAAGGGGUUUCACUCCCCCCCAAAUCCUAUUAAAGUCAAGCUGGGCAGAGAUUAACCCGAUGAUCAUUUCAAGGCCUGGGGACCCGAUGGUUCCUCUCUUCAGCCCCAUGUCCUCCCAUUUACCCUAUGUCACCAGACGGUGAGCAGAAGUGUCUGUUUAAUGCUUAAUGUCUUUACCAGGCUUACCAGGCAGGGGGCCCCAACUGGCCACACUGGCUGGGAUGGUGGGUUGGCUGGACGGUGGGAAGGGAAGCACCUCUCCAGGCUACGCCCAGGGCAAUAAGGCCUGGUUAACUAUGGCCAUGCAGGGAGCCACAGUGACCCCGUCCUGACUGUGUCAUAAAGCUUUGGUACCAAUAGAUAAUGAACAAGUUGUGCUGUGACUGAGGAUGUCCAAAUAUGGACACAAAAAAAGAAAAUAUGAA